CUCCCUCCCCGCCCCCUGGCCCGGCACCGCCGCUGGAGAACUUCAGCGAGUUCCAGAUGGAAGGCGUCUCCGAGGACAGCAACGCCAUCUACGUCGAGCUCGCGGCCUGAAGACCGCGCAGAACGCCUGGGCCUUGGAGGUCAAGCUGACCCACCAGCACUUCCCCUCCGGACGGUGUCCGUAGAGCUGGUGUCUGUGUCGAGCAGCAGCCGCAGCAUGUGACCCACGACAUCCCGUGAAGGUCACUCCCAGGAGGCCGUGGAGGAACCUGCAGGAGCCACAGUCCCAGACGCUGAUGUGAGCAUUUAUCUGCCGGUCUUGAAGACGAUGAAGAGCGUUGUGGAAAAAAUGAAAAAUAUCAGCAAUCAGCUUGUAAGUCACAACUUCUUUAGCAAAGAGCUCUGAAGCGUUUGCUGUGGGCUGCACGCCUGCCCGAGGUGUGGGUGCCCUGGCACUCAGCGUGCGGGGUCCCCUCAUUGCCGGUGGUUGAGAGCUACAGCUUCCCAGGCGCCUGGGGAACCCGUCCGGGUGCUCUCCAGGGGCUCCCUGGGGAGAUUGUUCACAUUGGCCUCCUGCCUGUGUUUAUACUCACAGUAGAUUCAGCACGUUCAGCCGCUCUGGCUUCCCUCCCUUACGCUCGGAAAGACA
Molecule: long non-coding RNA, 648 nt
Organism: Myotis brandtii (Brandt's bat)
Lineage: Eukaryota; Metazoa; Chordata; Mammalia; Chiroptera; Vespertilionidae
Exons: 3
Source: RefSeq, a predicted model, not a curated record